RNAcentral lists this ribosomal RNA (496 nucleotides) under uncultured bacterium. RNAcentral's name for it is "partial 16S ribosomal RNA". It matches the Rfam family "Bacterial small subunit ribosomal RNA", at positions 29 to 507 of the family's 1533-position model. The record is from RNAcentral.
AACGAACGCUGGCGGCGCGUCUUAAGCAUGCAAGUCGAACGGCAAGAGAGGAGCUUGCUUCUCUCCUAGAGUGGCGGACUGGUGAGGAACACGUGGGUAAUCUACCCUUAAGAUGGGGAUAGCUGCUAGAAAUAGCAGGUAAUACCGAAUACACUCGGCAUAUCACAAGAGGUGUUGAGGAAAGGAAGCUACGGCUUCGCUUGAGGAUGAGCUUGCGUCCCAUUAGCUAGUUGGUGAGGUAAAGGCCCACCAAGGCGACGACGGGUAUCCGGCCUGAGAGGGUGAACGGACACAUUGGGACUGAGAUACGGCCCAAACUCCUACGGGAGGCAGCAGCUAAGAAUAUUCCGCAAUGGACGGAAGUCUGACGGAGCGACGCCGCGUGGAUGAAGAAGGCUGAAAAGUUGUAAAAUCCUUUUGUUGAUGAAGAAUAAGGGUGAGAGGGAAUGCUCAUCUGAUGACGGUAAUCGACGAAUAAGCCCCGGCUAAUUACGUG